AGAAAUUGUAGAAUUAAUAAAUCAGAGUAGUAUUAGUUAAGGUCUUGAAACUCAAAAAAUUUGGCGGUAUUUUAGUCUAUUUAGAGGAACCUGUAGUAUAAUCGAUAAUCCACGAUGGACCUCACUUAAUUUUGUUUUUCAGUUUGUAUACCGCUGUUAUUUGAAAAUUUUAUAAGGAUAUUAAUUUUCAUAAUUUUAAAUUAAAAAAUAAAUCAGGUCAAGGUGCAGCUUAUGAUUAAGUAUUUAUGGGUUACAAUAAAAUUAUUUAAAUGGAUUAGAGCAUGAAAUUGUUUUUUGAAAGCGGAUUUAAUAGUAAAUUUUUAAAGAUAAAAUAAUUGAUU
This 341-nucleotide ribosomal RNA is filed under the name Hercostomus fugax. Its description in RNAcentral is "partial 12S ribosomal RNA". Lineage: Eukaryota; Metazoa; Arthropoda; Insecta; Diptera; Dolichopodidae. The record is from RNAcentral.